RNAcentral lists this ribosomal RNA (397 nucleotides) under uncultured bacterium. RNAcentral's name for it is "partial 16S ribosomal RNA". It matches the Rfam family "Bacterial small subunit ribosomal RNA", at positions 523 to 918 of the family's 1533-position model. The record is from RNAcentral.
AUACGUAGGGGGCGAGCGUUGUUCGGAAUGAUUGGGCGUAAAGGGCGCGUAGGCGGCCCGGUAAGUCUGGAGUGAAAGUCCUGUUUUUAAGAUGGGAAUUGCUUUGGAUACUGUCGGGCUUGAGUGCAGGAGAGGUAAGUGGAAUUCCCAGUGUAGCGGUGAAAUGCGUAGAGAUUGGGAGGAACACCAGUGGCGAAGGCGACUUACUGGACUGUAACUGACGCUGAGGCGCGAAAGUGUGGGGAGCAAACAGGAUUAGAUACCCUGGUAGUCCACACUGUAAACGAUGAAUGCUAGGUGUAGGGGGUAUCGACCCCUUCUGUGCCGCAGUCAACACAAUAAGCAUUCCGCCUGGGGAGUACGGCCGCAAGGUUGAAACUCAAAGGAAUUGACGGGG